GGAUCUGGAACCCCGAGGUGCGCACAGCGCUGGGAUGCCAGCCUCGAAGCGGAGGAUCCCUGUGUCCCAGCCGGGCAUGGCCGACCCCCACCAGCUUUUCGAUGAUACAAGUUCAGCCCAGAGCCGGGGCUUUGGGGCCCAGCGGGCACCUGGUGGCCUAGGCUAUCCAGCAGCCUCUCCCACGCCCCAGGCAGCCUUCCUGGCUGACCCGGUGUCCAACAUGGCCAUGGCCUAUGGGAGCAGCCUGGCCGCGCAGGGCAAGGAGCUGGUGGAUAAGAACGUGAGUGGCGGGGGCUGGUGGGAGUGGGGGGAUGCACGGGGCCACAGGGCUUCAGACUUGAGCUCUGCCUCCCCAGAUCGACCGCUUCAUCCCUAUCACCAAGCUCAAGUAUUACUUUGCUGUGGACACCAUAUAUGUGGGCAGAAAGCUGGGCCUGCUGUUCUUCCCCUACCUACACCAGGACUGGGAGGUGCAGUACCAACAGGACACCCCGGUGGCCCCCCGCUUUGACGUCAAUGCCCCGGACCUCUACAUUCCAGCAAUGGCUUUCAUCACCUAUGUUUUGGUGGCUGGUCUUG
Molecule: small RNA, 579 nt
Filed under: Pongo abelii (Sumatran orangutan)
Lineage: Eukaryota; Metazoa; Chordata; Mammalia; Primates; Hominidae
Description: processed transcript
Source: RNAcentral